GUGAACGCUGGCGGUCGGCCUAACACAUGCAAGUCGAACGGCAGCACCGUAAGAGCUUGCUCUUACGGGUGGCGAGUGGCGGACGGGUGAGGAAUACAUCGGAAUCUACUUUUUCGUGGGGGAUAACGUAGGGAAACUUACGCUAAUACCGCAUACGACCUACGGGUGAAAGCAGGGGAUCUUCGGACCUUGCGCGAUUGAAUGAGCCGAUGUCGGAUUAGCUAGUUGGCGGGGUAAAGGCCCACCAAGGCGACGAUCCGUAGCUGGUCUGAGAGGAUGAUCAGCCACACUGGAACUGAGACACGGUCCAGACUCCUACGGGAGGCAGCAGUGGGGAAUAUUGGACAAUGGGCGCAAGCCUGAUCCAGCCAUACCGCGUGGGUGAAGAAGGCCUUCGGGUUGUAAAGCCCUUUUGUUGGGAAAGAAAAGCAGCAGGUUAAUACCCCGCUGUUCUGACGGUACCCAAAGAAUAAGCACCGGCUAACUUCGUG
RNAcentral lists this ribosomal RNA (491 nucleotides) under uncultured bacterium. RNAcentral's name for it is "partial 16S ribosomal RNA". It matches the Rfam family "Bacterial small subunit ribosomal RNA", at positions 29 to 507 of the family's 1533-position model. The record is from RNAcentral.